UGACAAGCAAACACAAAGCCAGGAUGUC
This 28-nucleotide non-coding RNA is filed under the name Homo sapiens (human). Lineage: Eukaryota; Metazoa; Chordata; Mammalia; Primates; Hominidae. The record is from RNAcentral.